Caenorhabditis elegans is the source of this 110-nucleotide microRNA precursor. Lineage: Eukaryota; Metazoa; Nematoda; Chromadorea; Rhabditida; Rhabditidae. The record is from Ensembl.
AUUUAAUUCUAAAAAUCAUUUCUGACUGUUGGCCUCUUCAUUUUCGAAUUCCGCGGCAAAAAAGCAGUGCCGAGCUUCUGUCUAGAUGUCUGCGUCAUUUUGUGAUAGCU